Non-coding RNA from Callithrix jacchus (white-tufted-ear marmoset), 551 nucleotides. The record is from the annotation of a RefSeq genome assembly. NCBI's taxonomy places the organism in Eukaryota, Metazoa, Chordata, Mammalia, Primates, Cebidae.
CCUUCCUAUGAUAAGAGAGGACUGGAGGUUCCUCCUUAGCUGUGGGCUCAGAGGCAGAGCUCUGGGGUGUCUCCACCAUGGCCUGGACCCCUCCCCUGCUCACCCUCCUCACUCUCUGCACAGGCUCUGUGGUUUCUUCUGAGCUGACUCAGGACCCUGCAGUGUCUGUGGCCUUGGGACAGACAGCCAGGAUCACCUGCCAGGGAGAGAGCCUCAGAAGCUAUUAUCCAAGCUGGUACCAGCAGAAGCCGGGCCAGGCCCCUGUGCUGGUCAUCUAUGGUAACAACAACCGGCCCUCAGGAAUCCCAGACCGAUUCUCUGGCUCCAGCUCAGAAAACACAGCUUCCUUGACCAUCACUGGGGCUCAGGUGGAAGAUGAGGCUGACUAUUACUGUAACUCCUGGGACAGCAGUGGUACUUAUCCCACAGUGACACAGACAGAUGGGGAAGUGAGAGAGAAACCCCUUCCCUCUCUGUGUCACCCUAUCUCUCCAGCCCCAGCAGGACUGUAAACAAAGCCAUAAGCAGGGCUGGCCCAGUUCACCUGGAUC